This 113-nucleotide non-coding RNA is filed under the name Mixta calida. RNAcentral's name for it is "Phenylalanine leader peptide". It matches the Rfam family "Phenylalanine leader peptide", at positions 16 to 124 of the family's 125-position model. Lineage: Bacteria; Pseudomonadati; Pseudomonadota; Gammaproteobacteria; Enterobacterales; Erwiniaceae. The record is from RNAcentral.
CGACGUUUUUCUUCGCUUUCUUUUUUACCUUCCCCUGAUCGGGAGGCGUUUCGUCGCAGGAAAAAGAAAGCGAAGACGAACUGUAAAGCCUCCCAAUCGGGAGGCUUUUUUAU